AUGGAGGUCGACGAGCCGGCGCCGCACGGCGGGGGCGGGGGCGGGGCCCCGCCCCGCAUCCGGCGGCUGGAGGAGUCGGUGGUGAACCGCAUCGCCGCGGGGGAGGUGGUCCAGCGGCCGUCGUCGGCGGUGAAGGAGCUCGUCGAGAACAGCAUCGACGCCGGCGCCUCCACCGUCUCUGUCACCGUCAAGGACGGCGGCCUCAAGCUCAUCCAGGUCUCCGACGACGGCCACGGCAUCCGGUGUGAGGACUUGCCAAUAUUGUGUGAGAGACAUACUACCUCAAAGCUGUCUGCAUAUGAGGACCUACAAACAAUAAAGUCCAUGGGGUUCAGAGGGGAGGCUUUGGCCAGUAUGACUUAUGUUGGCCAUGUUACGGUGACAACAAUAACAGAAGGCCAACUGCAUGGCUACAGAGUUUCUUAUAGGGAUGGAGUAAUGGAGAAUGACCCGAAGCCCUGUGCUGCGGUUAAAGGAACUCAAGUCAUGGUUGAAAAUUUAUUCUACAAUAUGGUAGCUCGUAGGAAAACACUGCAGAACUCCAAUGAUGACUAUCCAAAGAUAGUGGACUUCAUCAGUCGGUUUGCGGUCCAUCACAUCAAUGUGAACUUCUCUUGCAGAAAGCAUGGAGCCAAUAGAGCAGAUGUUCACAGUGGGAGCACAUCUUCAAGGCUAGAUGCUAUUAGGAAUGUCUACGGGGCUUCGGUUGUUCGUGAUCUGAUGGAAAUACAGGUUUCAGAUGAGAAUGCUGUAGAUGAAAUAUUCAAGAUGGAUGGUUUCAUCUCAAAUGCAAAUUAUGUGGCAAAAAAGACUACUAUGAUUCUUUUCAUAAAUGAUAGACUUGUAGACUGCACUUCUUUGAAAAGAGCUACUGAAUUUGUGUACUCUGCAAUACUGCCUCAAGCAUCCAAACCCUUCAUAUACAUGUCCAUCAAUCUUCCACCAGAACACGUGGAUGUCAAUAUACAUCCAACCAAAAAGGAGGUUAGCCUCUUAAAUCAAGAGCGUAUUAUUGAAAAAAUUAAAGAUGCUAUUGAGGAAAAACUGCUGAACUGUAAUAACACAAGGAUAUUCCAAACUCAGGCACUAAACUCUUCAGCACUUACUCAAUCUAACAUACGAAAGGACAUGAGCACGGAGAUCAGCACGCCUACUGGAGAAAAAUCUCAAAAGGUUCCUGUGAGCCAAAUGGUCAGAACAGAUCCACGCGAUCCAUCUGGAAGGUUGCACACCUAUUGGCAAGGUCAAUCUUCAAAUCUUGAAAAGAAAUCUGACCUUGUUACCGUGAGAAAUAUUGUAAGAUCAAGAAGAAAUCCAAAAGAUGCUGGUGAUUUGUCCAGUCGCCAUGAGCUUCUUACAGAAAUAGAUUCUAACUUACAUCCCGGCCUUUUCGAUAUUGUUAAGAAUUGCACAUAUGUUGGAGUUGCCGAUGAGGUUUUCGCUUUGAUACAGCACAAUACCCUCUUAUACCUUGUCAAUGUGGUAAAUGUUAGCAAAGAACUCAUGUACCAACAAGCUCUGUGCCGCUUUGGAAACUUCAAUGCUAUACAGCUAAGUGAACCUGCUCCGCUUCGGGAGUUGCUGACAAUGGCACUGAAAGAUGACGAAUCAAUGAGUGAUGUAAAUGAGAAGGAGAAACUAGAAAUUGCAGAAGUGAACACUGAGAUACUAAAAGAAAAUGCUGAGAUGAUUAAUGAGUACUUCUCGAUUCACAUUGAUCAAGGUGGCAACCUGACCAGACUUCCGGUUGUACUUGAUCAGUACACCCCUGAUAUGGAUCGCCUUCCAGAGUUCAUGUUGACUCUAGGAAAUGACAUUGCCUGGGACGUUGAGAAAGAGUGCUUCAGAACGGCAGCAGCUGCUAUUGGAAACUUCUAUGCGCUUCAUCCUCCCAUCCUUCCAAAUCCAUCUGGCAAAGGCAUUCGGUUAUACAAGAGAAAUAAAGAUUCCAUGGGAAGUGCUGAACCGGCUGAUAACGAUUUAACAGGUACAGAUGAAGAUGACGUCGACCAAGAGCUGGUUGCGGAAGCAGAGGCGGCAUGGGCUCAGCGCGAGUGGACCAUCCAGCACGUCUUGUUCCCGUCCAUGCGACUUUUCCUCAAGCCCCCUAAGUCGAUGGCAACGGAUGGAACGUUCGUCCAGAUUGCUUCUCUAGACAAGCUUUACAAGAUCUUCGAGAGAUGCUAG
Molecule: ribosomal RNA, 2187 nt
Filed under: Triticum aestivum (bread wheat)
Lineage: Eukaryota; Viridiplantae; Streptophyta; Magnoliopsida; Poales; Poaceae
Description: partial small subunit ribosomal RNA
Source: RNAcentral